Molecule: ribosomal RNA, 254 nt
Filed under: uncultured bacterium
Lineage: Bacteria
Description: partial 16S ribosomal RNA
Rfam family: Bacterial small subunit ribosomal RNA
Source: RNAcentral
GACGAACCGUGCGAACGUUAUUCGGAAUCACUGGGCUUAAAGCGCGUGUAGGCGGGCCGGCACGUCGGUCGCUGAAAUCCCCCGGCUCAACCGGGGAAGGGGCGCCGAUACGACCGGCCUGGAGGGGGGUAGGGGGCGCUGGAACUCACGGUGGAGCGGUGAAAUGCGUUGAUAUCAGAAGGAACGCCGGUGGCGAAAGCGACGGACUGGAUAUCUUCUGACGCUGAGGCGCGAAAGCUAGGGGAGCAAACGGG